This 1397-nucleotide ribosomal RNA is filed under the name Klebsiella pneumoniae. RNAcentral describes it as "bacterial SSU rRNA". It matches the Rfam family "Bacterial small subunit ribosomal RNA". The record is from RNAcentral. Lineage: Bacteria; Pseudomonadati; Pseudomonadota; Gammaproteobacteria; Enterobacterales; Enterobacteriaceae.
UGCAAGUCGAGCGGUAGCACAGAGAGCUUGCUCUCGGGUGACGAGCGGCGGACGGGUGAGUAAUGUCUGGGAAACUGCCUGAUGGAGGGGGAUAACUACUGGAAACGGUAGCUAAUACCGCAUAAUGUCGCAAGACCAAAGUGGGGGACCUUCGGGCCUCAUGCCAUCAGAUGUGCCCAGAUGGGAUUAGCUAGUAGGUGGGGUAACGGCUCACCUAGGCGACGAUCCCUAGCUGGUCUGAGAGGAUGACCAGCCACACUGGAACUGAGACACGGUCCAGACUCCUACGGGAGGCAGCAGUGGGGAAUAUUGCACAAUGGGCGCAAGCCUGAUGCACCCAUGCCGCGUGUGUGAAGAAGGCCUUCGGGUUGUAAAGCACUUUCAGCGGGGAGGAAGGCGUUGAGGUUAAUAACCUUGGCUAUUGACGUUACCCGCAGAAGAAGCACCGGCUCCGUGCCAGCAGCCGCGGUAAUACGGAGGGUGCAAGCGUUAAUCGGAAUUACUGGGCGUAAAGCGCACGCAGGCGGUCUGUCAAGUCGGAUGUGCCGGGCUCAACCUGGGAACUGCAUUCGAAACUGGCAGGCUAGAGUCUUGUAGAGGGGGGUAGAAUUCCAGGUGUAGCGGUGAAAUGCGUAGAGAUCUGGAGGAAUACCGGUGGCGAAGGCGGCCCCCUGGACAAAGACUGACGCUCAGGUGCGAAAGCGUGGGGAGCAAACAGGAUUAGAUACCCUGGUAGUCCACGCCGUAAACGAUGUCGAUUUGGAGGUUGUGCCCUUGAGGCGUGGCUUCCGGAGCUAACGCGUUAAAUCGACCGCCUGGGGAGUACGGCCGCAAGGUUAAAACUCAAAUGAAUUGACGGGGGCCCGCACAAGCGGUGGAGCAUGUGGUUUAAUUCGAUGCAACGCGAAGAACCUUACCUGGUCUUGACAUCCACAGAACUUUCCAGAGAUGGAUUGGUGCCUUCGGGAACUGUGAGACAGGUGCUGCAUGGCUGUCGUCAGCUCGUGUUGUGAAAUGUUGGGUUAAGUCCCGCAACGAGCGCAACCCUUAUCCUUUGUUGCCAGCGGUUCGGCCGGGAACUCAAAGGAGACUGCCAGUGAUAAACUGGAGGAAGGUGGGGAUGACGUCAAGUCAUCAUGGCCCUUACGACCAGGGCUACACACGUGCUACAAUGGCAUAUACAAAGAGAAGCGACCUCGCGAGAGCAAGCGGACCUCAUAAAGUAUGUCGUAGUCCGGAUUGGAGUCUGCAACUCGACUCCAUGAAGUCGGAAUCGCUAGUAAUCGUAGAUCAGAAUGCUACGGUGAAUACGUUCCCGGGCCUUGUACACACCGCCCGUCACACCAUGGGAGUGGGUUGCAAAAGAAGUAGGUAGCUUAACCUUCGGGAGGGCGCCU